Molecule: ribosomal RNA, 483 nt
Filed under: uncultured bacterium
Lineage: Bacteria
Description: partial 16S ribosomal RNA
Rfam family: Bacterial small subunit ribosomal RNA
Source: RNAcentral
GAUGAACGCUGGCGGCGUGCUUAACACAUGCAAGUCGAACGGUGACGGUAGAGCUUGCUCCGCCUGAUCAGUGGCGAACGGGUGAGUAACACGUGGGCAACCUGCCCCAGACUUCGGGAUAACUCCUCGAAAGAGGCGCUAAUACCGGAUACGAACUCCUUGGGCAUCCUUGGAGUUGGAAAGUUUUUCGGUCUGGGAUGGGCCCGCGGCCUAUCAGCUUGUUGGUGAGGUAACGGCUCACCAAGGCGACGACGGGUAGCCGGCCUGAGAGGGCGACCGGCCACACUGGGACUGAGACACGGCCCAGACUCCUACGGGAGGCAGCAGUGGGGAAUAUUGCGCAAUGGGCGAAAGCCUGACGCAGCAACGCCGCGUGAGGGAUGACGGCCUUCGGGUUGUAAACCUCUUUCAGCAGGGAAGAAGCGAAAGUGACGGUACCUGCAGAAGAAGCACCGGCUAACUCUGUGCCAGCAGCCGCGGUAA